UAUAUACUUUCUUCGUAUAAAAUUACUUGUCACAAAAAUGAAUGUAUCUAGAUAUAUUUUUAGCUCUAGAUACAUCCGUUUCUAUCAAUUUCCGCGACUAGUAAUUCAGGAUGAAGGGAGUAUUAC
This 126-nucleotide microRNA precursor is filed under the name Hordeum vulgare. Its description in RNAcentral is "microRNA MIR1122". It matches the Rfam family "MIR1120/MIR1122 microRNA precursor family". The record is from RNAcentral. Lineage: Eukaryota; Viridiplantae; Streptophyta; Magnoliopsida; Poales; Poaceae.